Long non-coding RNA from Salvia splendens (bonfire salvia), 1006 nucleotides. RefSeq lists it as uncharacterized. The record is from RefSeq and is a predicted model, not a curated record. NCBI's taxonomy places the organism in Eukaryota, Viridiplantae, Streptophyta, Magnoliopsida, Lamiales, Lamiaceae. The transcript has 3 exons.
AGUGAUAGACCUUGAAUAAAAUACCGUGUCUGUUUCGAUUGGUGGUGAAUGAAAAUAGUAAAUGCUGGAAUUGUUGUUGAUUAAUUGUGUGGUGUAAAUUGUCGACGAGAUUGACGCGAGAAUUGUCGAUGGGAAAAUUUGGGCGUUCGUUUACAAUGUACUUGGAAUAACACCAAAGUACUAAAAUAAUAAAACACCACAAUUUAAUCAAUGUACUAAAAUUAUAUAUAUUUGGGCCUAUCACUUUUGUCUAUUUAUUUUCUUUUAGCCCAUUUAUCCUUAUUCAAUUGGGCCACUUUUAAUAUAACCAUUUAUUAUAAUUCCUAUUGAAUUCCUGCAACAUAAAUCCCUCCUUCUAAACCCACGUUUUUUUUUCCCAUCAAUAUCUCCACCCACAAAAUUCUCUCCAACAAACAAAUCUAAUCUCUGCAUUAUAUUUAUCUCCCCACAACUGCAUCUUUUAUCAGCCGUUUCAUAAUUUCCAAUGCAGUUUUCUCCCUUCCAACAAAGGUAUAAUCUUCCACUUCAAUUCAGUGUAUACAACUCUCUGGAUAUUAAACCCAUAGCACCAUAUUUUUUUUUCUUGUCACAGUUGAGAGGAAAAAAUCGAGCAGCCUGUGAAUCCAAAUCCCCCCUGCAAAUCUCAAUUUGUUUUCCUCUUUCCAAAGGGUGAACUUGUGCACGUUGUUGCGGUUUGGAACAGAAAGUGUUGAGGAGUUAAGCAUUUGAGAUUGAGCGGCGAUGGACGACGAGGAUGUUGAGCAGAGUUCAUGGAUCGUUUUGUCAUGAUUAAUAAUUGUUGGAUUUGUCGUGUCUUCAUACUCGGCAUUUUCCGUGUCUUGAACGCUUCCGCUAAGAGUCAUUUUCUUUAGAAUUGUUUAUCCGUGGAGAGUCUAACUCGUUGACAAAUUGUUUUUGUCCAUUCUUUUUCUUAGAUUUGGUAUUAUUGUUAGGAUAAUAAUAUGACGUUUUCAAAGUUAAUUCAGUUAGUAAAUUUUUGGUCAAA